Molecule: ribosomal RNA, 527 nt
Filed under: Sticta fuliginosa
Lineage: Eukaryota; Fungi; Ascomycota; Lecanoromycetes; Peltigerales; Lobariaceae
Description: eukaryotic LSU rRNA
Rfam family: Eukaryotic large subunit ribosomal RNA
Source: RNAcentral
CAGCUCAAAUUUGAAAUCUGGCUCCUUUGGGGUCCGAGUUGUAAUUUGUAGAGGGUGUUUCGGGCGCGAUGCCGGUCUAAGUUCCUUGGAACAGGACGUCGUAGAGGGUGAGAAUCCCGUAUGCGACCGGCGAUCAAGCCCGUGCGAAGCCCCUUCGACGAGUCGAGUUGUUUGGGAAUGCAGCUCAAAAUGGGUGGUAAAUUUCAUCUAAAGCUAAAUACUGGCCAGAGACCGAUAGCGGACAAGUAGAGUGAUCGAAAGAUGAAAAGCACUUUGGAAAGAGAGUCAAACAGUACGUGAAAUUGUUGAAAGGGAAGCGCUUGCAAUCAGACCGGUCCGGAGGCGAUCAGCCGCUGCUCGUCAGCGGUGCACUCGCCUGCGAUCCGGCCAGCAUCGGUUUGGGCGGCGGGAUAAAAGUCCCGGGAAUGUAGCUUCCUCCGGGGAGUCUUAUAGCCCGGGUCGCAAUGCCGCCCGCCCGGACCGAGGACCGCGCUUCGGCUAGGAUGCUGGCGUAAUGGUUGCAAGCG